GGGUUUGGUUCAAAUUUUGGGUUACGAAUGUUCGCAAUAGACAUUGCACGUGCGCACCUUAACAAAAAAUCUCGCGGAAAUCUUGGAAGUGGAACGUUGAUAACUUCCUCUACAAGAUCUUUAUUCUGUUUAUUCGUUUUAUUCUUUGGGGGUAAAGAACGACUUCAUGUUAUUUUAAGACGAACUAUGUAUCGUUUAAACACAAAUAUCUUGCUGUUUCUGGUUAGCAAAUUGACCAAAAACAAAAAGUAAUUUCCCCCAAAAUCACUUUAUAGCGCUGUUUGUUGUGCACACGCUCUUCUCUCUUCUCUCUCUCUCUCUCGUUUUCACAUCGCUUGGGUGGAGACUCCUCUGAUUCCGUCGGCGGCAGCAGACGGUGUUGAGUUCUCCCACCCCUAUCUCAUUUUCCUUCAGAUCUGCGCUCAAAUCGACGUUUAGAACUUCAAUAUCGGUUUCUGGAGGCAUUAUCUUCUUCCUUCUCGGUCAAUCGGCUUGGCCUCCUGUCACAGAAGCCUUUAAGAAAGCUCGGGAUCCUGGUAGUUUGUCGGAAUCCAAGGUCAUGGCGCUCCGUUUUGAGGACGGCGGGGACAUAACCGGAAUCCGCUAGUCAGCUAUUAGGAUCUAGGGUUUGUCACGGUUGUGAGGGAGACUUCGUUGGCGGCAGACCAACUUAGAGGAUGGCGGUUUCUCAAGGUUUGUGUCUUGUCUGUCGUGGUGUCUCCUCUCCGCCAAGAUUUGUGUGGGAAGAGGUGUGAGACUCUUGGAUUUGAAUAACAAAAAGCGUCACGAGGUGAUUCAGCGGAGGCUAGGGUUACGUGAGUCGGAUCUCUUUCGAUUUCGGCGUUGGCGCCGCGGGACCACUCCGACGGUGUACAUAUCCGAUGGCGAGUGUUGACGGAACAGGGGAUUGGUUUGGAAACCUAGUCCCAUGAAUUCACGAUUGUCCGGUUGACUGUUGCUGGUGUUCAUUGGAGAAGGAUGCUUCGCGUCCUCCAGUCUUCUUCCCACACCGUAUCUCUAGUUUGUUUUUUUUUGCUCGGUUGUUUACUUUCUAUUUAUCUCAUGUAACCUAGAUCUUUAUUUCUCCGGUCACUGGAAUUUUGUAGAUCUCAUCGGAUCCCUUUUUUAAGAAGGUAAAUGAUAAUAUAUAUUUUAACUAAAGUUAUAUGAAUUAUCCAAAUUUUAUCCAUAAC
This 1193-nucleotide long non-coding RNA is filed under the name Brassica napus (rape). Its description in RNAcentral is "long non-coding RNA (BNAP_LNC017590)". Lineage: Eukaryota; Viridiplantae; Streptophyta; Magnoliopsida; Brassicales; Brassicaceae. The record is from RNAcentral.